UUGGUCAGUUUUUUACCAUUACAAACUAGA
This 30-nucleotide non-coding RNA is filed under the name Macaca fascicularis (crab-eating macaque). Lineage: Eukaryota; Metazoa; Chordata; Mammalia; Primates; Cercopithecidae. RNAcentral also lists the same sequence under 1 other name. The record is from RNAcentral.